Molecule: ribosomal RNA, 158 nt
Filed under: Ateles sp. EG-2017
Lineage: Eukaryota; Metazoa; Chordata; Mammalia; Primates; Atelidae
Description: partial 12S ribosomal RNA
Source: RNAcentral
ACAAGAUUAUUCGCCAGAAUACUACAAGCAACAGCUUGAAACUCAAAGGACCUGGCGGUGCUUUACAUCCGUCUAGAGGAGCCUGUUCUAUAAUCGAUACACCCCGAUAAACCUCACCACUUCUCGCCCUCAGCCUGUAUACCGCCUCUUCAGCAAAC